Passer domesticus (house sparrow) is the source of this 1161-nucleotide long non-coding RNA. RefSeq lists it as uncharacterized. Lineage: Eukaryota; Metazoa; Chordata; Aves; Passeriformes; Passeridae. The transcript is spliced from 3 exons. The record is from RefSeq and is a predicted model, not a curated record.
UACUUGAGGUUUUCACCUUGCUCUACAUAAGCAAGGCCCACUGGCUCUAGGUCUGUGUGGGAAAGACCCCACGAUUCCCAUCCCCAGCAGGAGAGAUGUUAUGUGCCUGAAGUGAUUCCUUAAUCACAGGAUGCAAUAUGAGUCUCUGGAAAGACAAAGGCAGUCUGAACUGUGGAAGCAGAGCUGCUCUCUAGGAGUUUUGAUAAAGAUAGCCUGAACAAUGAAUGUGGACUACAAAGCAAACAUGUGGAAGAUGAAAGUUAAAUGAGGUGAAGCCCAAGCAUAAUCCUUAGCACUUCAGAAUACUGGUAAGUUUGAGUGUUUGUGGUAAAUUGAUGUGUAAGUGGAUGCUGGAAAUCCAUCCUUCUGGUGACUUGGCCUAGUUAGCAAGGAGAAGAAAAGAAGGAAGUGCUGAUGACUGAUGCAAAUUUAUACCUGCCCUUUAUGAUGUGCCUUUCUUCCAUGUCUUAGUGGGCUCCACUUUGCUAUGGGACACUUGUGUAACAGAAGAACUGGUUUACAUUUUUGCCUGUUUUUUCCAAAGCAACACCAGCUGAUGUGAUCCACCCCAAUAAACAUUAGCUAACUGUUCCAAUAUGUUCUGUGUGGGGUGUAGUCUAAACCAGAAAAUGAUGCAAAAUACUGCAUCCCACGUCCCAGGCAAGAGCCAUGGCCAAAUUGGUGCGUGAUUUAUGCACCAACGGCAACAGCAGCCCAAGGAGCACUAAGGUCAGCAUGAAUCUUUCCACUGAUUUCAAAAAGCAUCAUCUCAAGCCGCCUGAGAAAAUGUUAGGCACUGAUUUUACCCCAGAAGUGAACAUGGAUUAUGAAACAUUUCUGAGAGCCUGACUCCUUUCUCUUAUUCAAUCUGGUGUUGAACAAUCCCAAACCAGAGAUGUCCUGGCUCAAGAGAGGUGGCGUUGCCUGGCUGCAAACGGAGCCAAACCUUCGGUAUUUUCCAUUUGUCUCAGUCUCCAAGAUGUGAAGCUUUCCCUGGCCCUUGGGUAGAGAAUGCAGGUUAGUCCUUCCAUGUGGAGUCAACACUUGUUGAUCUGCUUUCCAGUUUGCAUUGCUUGUUUUUCCAUUAAAGGAGGAAAGAAAGGCAAAUUAGAUCACUUUUUGGAAGGAGGGGGAACUGAAUUGUUGUUCUUACCUACUUCA